UCUUGGAAAAUCAUUGGAUAUUGUUAACCCUUAAAUCUGUAUAUGUUUAUUUAUUUGUUCAGUCAAACAAUCAUAAAAACAAAAAAACAAAGAAUUUUGCAUUUUGUUAAUUUAGACGAAUUCAUUGUUCAUAAACAGUGACAAAAUCCGAGGUUUAUACAAGUAUUUGAAGAAAACGGUAUUCGACAGAAUGAAGCUUUAAGUCUAAAAUGGAUUAGAAGGAACUGAAAUGAGCUACAUAAAUUGCUCUUAAUAUUGGAGAACUGCUAACAUUUAUAACCUUUUUAAUGAUUACACUAAAUCUUCACCUAUUGCUUUUCACUUACUUUAAUGGUCAUUCGAUUCAAACUUAUUUUAUCUAAAUCUAUUACCUUUUGCCAGUAAAAUACUGUAUAGUUAGUUAGCAAAGAAUAUAGGCGAGUAAAGCUCUAAACUAUCAUACUUCUAAAAUCAAAGAAAACCAAAGAAAAAAGCAGAUGAAAGAAUUUAGUAACAUCUGGAUUUUGAGUAAUAAACUGAUUGACCUAACUUAUUGACAGGUUGUGCGAUAUCAGUUGGUUUGCCAAAAACAACAAUAAUUGAAAAUUUAUGAAUGGAUUCACCAGAAUAUUAGCCUAAUUGCUUUUUGAUUCAUUUAAGGAAAUUCAACUUUUAAUUUGAAAUCAGCGAAAGCCGAAAAAAGGAUGGUAUGAAUUUGAAAUAUUUUUUAAUGCGAGCAGGUAAUAUU
Molecule: non-coding RNA, 727 nt
Organism: Schizosaccharomyces pombe (fission yeast)
Lineage: Eukaryota; Fungi; Ascomycota; Schizosaccharomycetes; Schizosaccharomycetales; Schizosaccharomycetaceae
Source: the annotation of a GenBank genome assembly